GGAAUACUUAAAUGAAACAACGAUUGUAGACUACUAUGAUUAUCUUCGUGUAAGCUGUUAUUACACAAAACUGCACGACUGAUGUGGCUGUAACCCUGUUGUGUUCGAGCACACAGGCCUGUAAGGGAUAGACUCAACCUUCGCAGCGGCCAGAGCCUGAAGAGGGAUUGGACAUUUUCUCAUUAAAUUGCGGAAAUUUUUCUACUCAAUGUCACUGGUUUGUUGAUGUGCAACAAGAGUUCCAGUGAAAUUUCUGCCGAUGGAAACAAACUAGUCAAGCUACUGUGAAUCAGCCUAUUGUCAUGACACAAGUGAGGACCUACCUAUUUCUUGAAACCUACCCACUGAAUCCCCAGGUGUGUUGGAAAGCAGUCGAGUAUUGGGAUCCGAUUGUCAUGACACAAGUGAGGACGCCAUCACAUGCCUCAGACAAGUAAUCCAGAGGAUGCUUGGAGACAGAAACAUGUACAACAGAACUGACCACUUUGUGGUUGACUUAGAGAGUGAUCCACACACUGGGAAGAUAAAACUACUGCACUUGUGUCACAAAUAAGCUACUAAGAAUUGUAUAAAAUGUGAAGUGCCACAGCACGUAUCAUGCUUUUGAAUUUGUACUUACAAAAUAAAUGUAUACAAUUUUGAAUACA
Homalodisca vitripennis (glassy-winged sharpshooter) is the source of this 647-nucleotide long non-coding RNA. RefSeq lists it as uncharacterized. NCBI's taxonomy places the organism in Eukaryota, Metazoa, Arthropoda, Insecta, Hemiptera, Cicadellidae. The transcript is spliced from 5 exons. The record is from RefSeq and is a predicted model, not a curated record.